UACGUAGGGUGCAAGCGUUAAUCGGAAUUACUGGGCGUAAAGCGUGCGCAGGCGGUUUGGCAAGACAGAUGUGAAAUCCCCGGGCUUAACCUGGGAAUUGCAUUUGUGACUGCACGGCUAGAGUGUGUCAGAGGGGGGUAGAAUUCCACGUGUAGCAGUGAAAUGCGUAGAUAUGUGGAGGAAUACCGAUGGCGAAGGCAGCCCCCUGGGAUAACACUGACGCUCAUGCACGAAAGCGUGGGGAGCAAACAGG
Molecule: ribosomal RNA, 253 nt
Filed under: uncultured bacterium
Lineage: Bacteria
Description: partial 16S ribosomal RNA
Rfam family: Bacterial small subunit ribosomal RNA
Source: RNAcentral